This 58-nucleotide transfer RNA is filed under the name Canis lupus familiaris (dog). It matches the Rfam family "tRNA", at positions 8 to 63 of the family's 71-position model. From Rfam's summary of the family: Transfer RNA (tRNA) molecules are approximately 80 nucleotides in length. RNAcentral also lists the same sequence under 3 other names. The record is from Rfam by way of RNAcentral. Lineage: Eukaryota; Metazoa; Chordata; Mammalia; Carnivora; Canidae.
UGGCUCAGAUGGUAGAGCAUGUGACUUUUGAUCUCAGGGUCAUGAGUUCAAGCCCCAU